GCCCAGGUGGUGUAAUGGUAGCCACGCAGGACUUAAAAUCCUGUUCCUUCGGGAGUGCGGGUCCGAGUCCCGCCCUGGGCA
This 81-nucleotide transfer RNA is filed under the name Candidatus Magasanikbacteria bacterium RIFOXYD2_FULL_36_9. RNAcentral's name for it is "tRNA-Leu". It matches the Rfam family "tRNA". From Rfam's summary of the family: Transfer RNA (tRNA) molecules are approximately 80 nucleotides in length. Their secondary structure includes four short double-helical elements and three loops (D, anti-codon, and T loops). Lineage: Bacteria; Candidatus Magasanikiibacteriota. The record is from RNAcentral.